Molecule: non-coding RNA, 21 nt
Organism: Caenorhabditis elegans
Lineage: Eukaryota; Metazoa; Nematoda; Chromadorea; Rhabditida; Rhabditidae
Source: Ensembl
UUCAGAAAGUAAGUGAAGCAA